Molecule: ribosomal RNA, 253 nt
Filed under: uncultured bacterium
Lineage: Bacteria
Description: partial 16S ribosomal RNA
Rfam family: Bacterial small subunit ribosomal RNA
Source: RNAcentral
UACGUAGGCAGCAAGCGUUGUUCGGAAUUACUGGGCGUAAAGAGUGUGUAGGCGGUGCUCUAAGUUCGGUGUGAAAUCUCCCGGCUCAACUGGGAGGGUGCGCCGAAAACUGGAGUGCUGGAGCGCGGGAGAGGAAAGCGGAAUUCCUGGUGUAGCGGUGAAAUGCGUAGAUAUCUGGAGGAAUACCGGUGGCGAAGGCGGCAUCCUGGACCGGCAUUGACGCUGAUGAGCGAAAGCUAGGGGAGCAAACGGG